RNAcentral lists this ribosomal RNA (1310 nucleotides) under Staphylococcus aureus. Its description in RNAcentral is "bacterial SSU rRNA". It matches the Rfam family "Bacterial small subunit ribosomal RNA", at positions 120 to 1416 of the family's 1533-position model. The record is from RNAcentral. Lineage: Bacteria; Bacillati; Bacillota; Bacilli; Caryophanales; Staphylococcaceae.
GAUAACCUACCUAUAAGACUGGGAUAACUUCGGGAAACCGGAGCUAAUACCGGAUAAUAUUUUGAACCGCAUGGUUCAAAAGUGAAAGACGGUCUUGCUGUCACUUAUAGAUGGAUCUUUGCUGCAUUAGCUAGUUGGUAAGGUAACGGCUUACCAAGGCAACGAUGCAUAGCCGACCUGAGAGGGUGAUCGGCCACACUGGAACUGAGACACGGUCCAGACUCCUACGGGAGGCAGCAGUAGGGAAUCUUCCGCAAUGGGCGAAAGCCUGACGGAGCAACGCCGCGUGAGUGAUGAAGGUCUUCGGAUCGUAAAACUCUGUUAUUAGGGAAGAACAUAUGUGUAAGUAACUGUGCACAUCUUGACGGUACCUAAUCAGAAAGCCACGGCUAACUACGUGCCAGCAGCCGCGGUAAUACGUAGGUGGCAAGCGUUAUCCGGAAUUAUUGGGCGUAAAGCGCGCGUAGGCGGUUUUUUAAGUCUGAUGUGAAAGCCCACGGCUCAACCGUGGAGGGUCAUUGGAAACUGGAAAACUUGAGUGCAGAAGAGGAAAGUGGAAUUCCAUGUGUAGCGGUGAAAUGCGCAGAGAUAUGGAGGAACACCAGUGGCGAAGGCGACUUUCUGGUCUGUAACUGACGCUGAUGUGCGAAAGCGUGGGGAUCAAACAGGAUUAGAUACCCUGGUAGUCCACGCCGUAAACGAUGAGUGCUAAGUGUUAGGUUUUUUCCGCCCCUUAGUGCUGCAGCUAACGCAUUAAGCACUCCGCCUGGGGAGUACGACCGCAAGGUUGAAACUCAAAGGAAUUGACGGGGACCCGCACAAGCGGUGGAGCAUGUGGUUUAAUUCGAAGCAACGCGAAGAACCUUACCAAAUCUUGACAUCCUUUGACAACUCUAGAGAUAGAGCCUUCCCCUUCGGGGGACAAAGUGACAGGUGGUGCAUGGUUGUCGUCAGCUCGUGUCGUGAGAUGUUGGGUUAAGUCCCGCAACGAGCGCAACCCUUAAGCUUAGUUGCCAUCAUUAAGUUGGGCACUCUAAGUUGACUGCCGGUGACAAACCGGAGGAAGGUGGGGAUGACGUCAAAUCAUCAUGCCCCUUAUGAUUUGGGCUACACACGUGCUACAAUGGACAAUACAAAGGGCAGCGAAACCGUGAGGUCAAGCAAAUCCCAUAAAGUUGUUCUCAGUUCGGAUUGUAGUCUGCAACUCGACUACAUGAAGCUGGAAUCGCUAGUAAUCGUAGAUCAGCAUGCUACGGUGAAUACGUUCCCGGGUCUUGUACACACCGCCCGUCACACCACGAGAGUUUGUA